This 263-nucleotide ribosomal RNA is filed under the name uncultured Staphylococcus sp. RNAcentral describes it as "partial 16S ribosomal RNA". It matches the Rfam family "Bacterial small subunit ribosomal RNA", at positions 99 to 354 of the family's 1533-position model. Lineage: Bacteria; Bacillati; Bacillota; Bacilli; Caryophanales; Staphylococcaceae. The record is from RNAcentral.
CGGACGGGUGAGUAACACGUGGAUAACCUACCUAUAAGACUGGGAUAACUUCGGGAAACCGGAGCUAAUACCGGAUAAUAUAUUGAACCGCAUGGUUCAAUAGUGAAAGACGGUUUUGCUGUCACUUAUAGAUGGAUCCGCGCCGCAUUAGCUAGUUGGUAAGGUAACGGCUUACCAAGGCAGCGAUGCGUAGCCGACCUGAGAGGGUGAUCGGCCACACUGGAACUGAGACACGGUCCAGACUCCUACGGGAGGCAGCAGAG